GGAGGGGUGCGAGAGCGGCCGAAUCGGACGGUCUCGAAACCGUUGUGGGGGCAACCUCACCGUUGGGUUCAGAUCCCACCCCCUCCC
Molecule: transfer RNA, 87 nt
Filed under: Actinomycetota bacterium
Lineage: Bacteria; Bacillati; Actinomycetota
Description: tRNA-OTHER
Source: RNAcentral